GAGUUUGAUCAUGGCUCAGGAUGAACGCUAGCGGGAGGCUUAACACAUGCAAGUCGAGGGGUAAAUGGCAGCAAUGCUAUGAGACCGGCGGACGGGUGCGUAACGCGUAUGCAACAUACCUUGUGCAGGGGGAUAGCCCGUGGAAACGCGGAUUAAUAUUCCAUAGUCCAGCUAUAUCGCAUGGUAUAGUUGGUAAAGAUUUAUCGGCACAAGUUUGGCAUGCGUCUGAUUAGCUUGUUGGUAGGGUAACGGCCUACCAAGGCUACGAUCAGUAGGGGUUCUGAGAGGAUUAACCCCCACACUGGUACUGAGACACGGACCAGACUCCUACGGGAGGCAGCAGUGAGGAAUAUUGGUCAAUGGGCGGAAGCCUGAACCAGCCAUCCCGCGUGAAGGAAGACAGCCUUACGGGUUGUAAACUUCUUUUCUGUCAGAAGAAUAAGCUUGUCGAGACGAGUGAUGCCGGUAUGACAGGAAUAAGCAUCGGCUAACUCCGUGCCAGCAGCCGCGGUAAUACGGAGGAUGCAAGCGUUAUCCGGGUUUAUUGGGUUUAAAGGGUGCGCAGGUUGUUUGAUAAGUCAGUGGUGAAAGUCUGUCGCUUAACGGUAGGAUUGCCAUUGAUACUGUUGGACUUGAAUAUGGAUGAGGUAGGCGGAAUGUGUAGUGUAGCGGUGAAAUGCAUAGAUAUUACACAGAACACCGAUUGCGAAGGCAGCUUACUAAUCCAUCAUUGACGCUGAGGCACGAAAGCGUGGGGAUCAAACAGGAUUAGAUACCCUGGUAGUCCACGCCGUAAACGA
Molecule: ribosomal RNA, 800 nt
Filed under: uncultured bacterium
Lineage: Bacteria
Description: bacterial SSU rRNA
Rfam family: Bacterial small subunit ribosomal RNA
Source: RNAcentral